Molecule: unclassified non-coding RNA, 230 nt
Filed under: uncultured bacterium
Lineage: Bacteria
Description: contains 16S-23S intergenic spacer region
Source: RNAcentral
GACGUGGUGGCUCGACUUCCCCGAGCAAUGGACCCCCAAGUCACCGUGGGCGGACCGGCGCGUCCGGCUGGCCGCGGCCAUGGCCAUGGACAAGCAGGGCAUCAAUCAGGCCGAGCGGCUCGGCUAUUCGCGCCUGACGGGCUCCAUCGUCCCGCGCAUCAUGGACUUCGCGCUCCCGAUCGAGCCGCAUCCGUAUGAUCCGACUCACGCGAAGCGGCUGCUGACCGAGG